UUGGGCAACAUUUCCACUCCUGGUAGCUACUGUGGCCAGAAGAUGAUACUAAAUUUCUGAGAACUGGAGUCAAGGGUGAUUGUGAGUUACCAUGUGUGUACUGAAAAAGGAACACAAGUCCUUUGGAAGUGCUCCUAACCCAAGCCAUAUCACGAGACAGAGUCACCUUAGCUUUGUUGUUGUUGUUGUUGAUGUUGUUGUUGUUUUUGACACAGAGUCUCUCACAGGGACCUGAGUUUCACAGAUUUGACUGCCUGACCAGGGACCUCCAGGGACAUGGAAGUCUUGACUUUCCAGUGUUUGCUAGGACUGAAGAUGUGUACCACCAUCACCCUACGGUUGUAAGGAAGCAAUACGUGUCUGACUGAAAAACGGAUUACUUAGAUAAGGAUGACCCUUGAAGAACAAUCUUGCUUUGGGUUGAGAUACUUCAGUUAUGAAGACCACUUAGCCAGAGGCAGAACUACAGAAGAAAAAAGCAAGAUCUACCUGAGGACCAAGCUAUGUCACUCUUUGGAAUAUACCCAAA
Rattus rattus (black rat) is the source of this 529-nucleotide long non-coding RNA. RefSeq lists it as uncharacterized. The record is from RefSeq and is a predicted model, not a curated record. The transcript is spliced from 4 exons. NCBI's taxonomy places the organism in Eukaryota, Metazoa, Chordata, Mammalia, Rodentia, Muridae.